This 205-nucleotide ribosomal RNA is filed under the name uncultured bacterium. RNAcentral describes it as "partial 16S ribosomal RNA". It matches the Rfam family "Bacterial small subunit ribosomal RNA", at positions 568 to 773 of the family's 1533-position model. The record is from RNAcentral.
UGCGUAGGCGGUGCAGCAAGUCGGGUGUGAAAUCCCUCAGCUCAACUGAGGAAUGGCGCCCGAAACUGCUGUGCUCGAGGAAGAUAGAGGUACGCGGAACUUAGGGUGGAGCGGUGAAAUGCGUUGAUAUCCUAAGGAACACCGGUGGCGAAAGCGGCGUACUGGGUCUUUUCUGACGCUGAGGCACGAAAGCUGGGUAGCAACG